AGGCGGGGACCGGGUACUCCCGCUGCAGCCCCCGAAGCUCCAUCUCCUCCGGAUCACUCACCGAGCCCGUGGACAUCCCGUUGUCCCCCUUGCCCACACGCGUCCUCUUUCCUCCCCCCUGGCCAGUCUCGCUGUCUCCGCCUUCCGCUCCCUGGCGGAGGCGGAGGCCAGAGAGCGCUCCAAGGAAGACUAAAAACCCAGGCCGGGAAGCGCGGGGUGAGAAAGCGAGGUGGGUGGCGAGAGCGUGAGCGCCCCUCUGCUGACCCCGGGGAGCGUGGACUACGAGUUGGCGCCCAAGUCCAGAAUCCGCGCGCACCGCGGAAAAUAUUUGCAAUACCUGCCACGUCCAAGGUUCAGCUGAGGCCAAUGUAAAGCCAGUAUUAUAGGACACUUCUCAGACUGAGAGCCCAAUGUCGUUGGAAACCACUGGGCCACAGGAAAGGCAGGCUCUCUCAGUCCUGCUCCUGCCAUGGAAGAAGCCUGCUCCCACCAUGCCUUCUGCCACGAGUAAAAGUUCCCUGAGGCCUCCCCAGAAGCAGAUGCUGUCGUGCUUCCUGUAUAGCUGCAGAACUACUUAUAGAUGGGGUCACACACCAUUCUACAAAGAGGGGAGUCUCUCCGUGAAAUGACUUGAACUUAUAAAGCGCAUUCUGCUAUGUGGUUGCCUCACCAACUCCCUUCCUGCCUGGACUAUUACAGUAACCUGUGGAUUGGUCUCCUUGCCUUGAGACGAUGACAUUUCUGGCACCUAAACCCAUCAGCAUCAAGUUGUUCUUUUGAAAACAUAAAUAUGACCAUGUUACAUGUUUUUAAACCUUUCAAUGGAAUACUUUCACCUACAGGAUAAUGUUUAGAUUUUUUAACAUGGCAUGCAUGACGCUUCACUCUCUGGCUUCCACACAUUCUCCAGAAUUACUUCCUGUCACUCUCCUAUGUCUAUUCUUGUCUCCAACAAUUCCCAACCUCUUGUGCUGUGGUCCAUGGCUCUCCAUGCCUCAUGCCUGUGCUGUCCUGGAGCACUUCCUUCAACUGAUACACAAAAAAAGUCUUGCUUAUUCUUCCCUGAUCUACCUGGGUUUCACCUUCACCUGUAUGCAGAGUUAAUGCCUUCCCGCUGUCUGUUCCCAUAUCAGGCUGUGUACUAUUGAAAUAUUCAUCACUCCCUUCAGGCUGUGGCUUAAUGUGCCCAUCUCCUUAUCAGCCUUGGCAAUUUAAGGACAGAGGUUUUGUUUUGUUUUUUGUUUUUUAAUCUCUCUCAUUUUUGUGUGUUCUCAGGAGCAGGAGAGAAGGGAUGUUAAUAUGUUGAAUUAAUGUUAAUCAUUAAAACCAUCACAACCCCAAAUUUCUUUAAUCCCUACUUAAUCCAAAUUGAUUGAAUUUGUACAAUUUUCAUGAAUGUUGAAUAAUCUUGAGGUGAAAUAAUCUUAUUUCACAAAAUAAAAAUUUGUUGAAAUAUCAUUCAACAAAGAUAUUAUUCUAAAUAUUCAAAACCGAAAGAAAGCAUAGGUCAUAGAGCUAUUUGGUGGUCAGUUCAGAGGAAACUUUGACAGGAUGAUGCCAACAAUGGGAAAAAAAAAGCCCCAAUAACCAUCCUGUCUUAUAACCUACAAAUAAUGUUACAUACAAUUUUAAAUUCAAAUAUAUUUGUUAGCAUGUUUGAAAUCUAUUUUUGUUUGUUUGUUUUCCUGGGCUCCUCAGAUAGUGAAUUGGACUUAGGAACAGAUUUUGAAGAAUAAACUAGAAUCAGUCAAGUGGAUGGAGGGUAAAUGUCCUCUAGGGGGAUAACUCACCAGAAAAAGAGGCUGAAGAGUAGGC
Molecule: long non-coding RNA, 1815 nt
Filed under: Homo sapiens (human)
Lineage: Eukaryota; Metazoa; Chordata; Mammalia; Primates; Hominidae
Source: RNAcentral